UAGCAUCUUCAAAGACUUAUUUAAGUCAGCAAUUCGGACACCCUUUCUUGAGGAAUACCUCUCACAUAAUUUCUCCAGGAUUUUUCUUCCUGUACAUGCUAAUAUUGAAUGGACUUCUUAGCUAUGCAUAUUACUCACACAAACGCAUUUAGCGGGUUUACAAAUAAGCACUUGAUCUGGCUUCACCAGAUGUUUGUUUCGAAGAAGGGAGCUUUUUUUUUUUUUUUUUUUUCUUAUGGUAUAAUUUAAAGGAAUACAAAUAUUGCCUUUCCAACACAUACUACGACCAGAUUUAUCACACCACUAGUAUCGCCUAAAAGAUACAUAAAGAUGACGAAGUUGGGCCAGAAAUUAUCCAUGCAAUUCUACAAUUAAUCAAUAUCCUGAAAUUUAGCCCAGACGAAAAAAGAAUUAUUUGGAAGAGAUCGAAGGCAGCUCUAUCCCCUCAAUGUUUGCCUCCUCUCCUAAGAAAUAUAAUAUGAUAACGUGAAAUAGUAGCAUGCGAACACCAUUUUCACGCCUAGUAUGUAAAGCAAAUAUCAUACUGCUCAAAUACAUACGUAUCUAAUAAUUAUAUGUACAAGAGAGACAGAUAGGAGUCUAACCGUUUUGAAGAAACCCAGAAA
This 626-nucleotide long non-coding RNA is filed under the name Carica papaya (papaya). Its description in RNAcentral is "long non-coding RNA (CPAP_LNC012893)". The record is from RNAcentral. Lineage: Eukaryota; Viridiplantae; Streptophyta; Magnoliopsida; Brassicales; Caricaceae.